Molecule: long non-coding RNA, 1061 nt
Organism: Gossypium arboreum
Lineage: Eukaryota; Viridiplantae; Streptophyta; Magnoliopsida; Malvales; Malvaceae
Exons: 4
Source: RefSeq, a predicted model, not a curated record
AGAUAGCCAAAAACUAAACAAAAUUUCUAGAUAUUAGUAUAGAAUAAUCUAGAACGGCAUUUAAUGCGCCGAACCAGUGCCCAAUCAGAAUUUGCUGAAUUCUGUCAUCCCAUCUUUCCAUCAUUUCACUACCUAGUUGACGAUUUCAAUCUUUAGAAAGCUUUUCCUUUCAAAACAUUUCAUUUUCCUUUUUGUUUUGAAGCUUUCUCUCUUCAUUUCUUCAUCUCUGGAAGCUUUCCUAGUCUGGUUCACACAUCCAAUCGAACCUUUUUUGUUUUUUGGUGUACUCAAGGACCUUCAUUUCCAAGUAUAUCUCAUUUUGUCUUUUUAGAGUUUCUGUUGCAAGAAUAUGUGCAAGAGUUUUUGCAGAUCUCAAUGGAAUCUCCUUCGAAGAUGAUUGACUGCCAUCCAUUUUCGGCUCCUAUUUGAACUGCUUUCCAAUAGGCUAUUCCUUCAGCAGCAAAUAUAGAAGUUAUACCAUUAUAGAUCUCUGAGCAGGAUAAAAUAAUUUUUCCUUCCGCAUUUCUAACCACAAUACCUGAAACUGAACGAUUUUGACUCAUGUUGCAUGCACUGUCGAAGUUAAUCUUGAUGAACUCACAAGGGCCCAAAGUGCACAAUAGAAAAGGCGACAUUGACAAGGGGUAAACUGCUCAAACACCCAGCUCUUUCUCCAUAUCGGGGGCAGCUUGUGUUUGUUGCCAACUUCCUGUACUGCAUAUUUACCUUUGUAGGAAAAUAAUUCCAUGAGAGUCUCCAGAUUGUAAUCUUUAUUUUUUUUUGGUAGAUUUAGGCUCCAAAGUUUUUUUUGUAAAAUUUCCUGUAGAUAGUUUGUACAGCGUAAGCUCUAGGAUUUUCAUCAGAACUCUGUAAUAGUUUAUAGGCACUUUAGACCGAGACUUCACCCGACGUUUCUCCCCCAGAUGAGGAAGUCCUCGUGAGGUGUUCAUGCCAAGGGGAUCCGAAGGACUCUUCCAGUGUCUUCUUCUGUGAAGGUACUAUUUACCAGCUCCCUCUUCUAAAGUCUAUUAUUGCUAUCAAUAAACUCAUUUACCUUAAAA